Molecule: transfer RNA, 65 nt
Filed under: Phlugiolopsis brevis
Lineage: Eukaryota; Metazoa; Arthropoda; Insecta; Orthoptera; Tettigoniidae
Description: tRNA-Cys
Source: RNAcentral
AACUUUAUAGUCAUAUGAUGAUAUUAGACUGCAAUUCUAAAGGAGUAGAAACACUACUAAGGUUU